CCAUAGGUCAACUAUAUUUAGUGUAUGGAAAUAUUUUAUGAUUUAUAUAUUAGUCGCGCAGGUUUUAUUUGACCUUGACCUCAUUUUCACGGUUCAUUGCUCAGUGUUAAGUUUUUCGUGUUUUGGUCUGUUUUUCUCAUACUUUAUGCAAUAGGUCUACUAUAUUUGUUGUAUGGAAUGAUUGUAAGGUGAACAUGUCUAGUGGACAGAUGUCAUCUGACCUUGACCUCAUUUUCAUGGUUCAGUGGUCAAAGUUAAGUUUUUCAGUUUUGGUCUUUUUAUCUGAUACUAUAUGCCAUAUAUACACUAUAUUUAGUGUAUGGAAAUAUUUUAUGAUUUAUAUAUUAGUCGCGCAGGUUUUAUUUGACCUUGACCUCAUUUUCACAGUUCAUUGCUCAGUGUUAAGUUUUUGUGUUUUGGUCUAUUUUUCUUAAACUAUAAGUAUUAGGUCAACUAUAUUUGUUUUAUGGAAGCAUUGUUAGCUGUACAUGUCAGCCUGGCAUGGUUCAUCUGACCUUGACCUCAUUUUCAUGGUUCAUUGGUCUUUGUUUAGUUAUCUUGGUUAAUGUAACGUUUAUGUGACAGUUGUAAUAAAGCUUUAUACUUAGGACUAUCAACAUAAUAUCAAUGAUUAGUAAAGAAGGCGAGACAUUUCAGUGUGUGUGCACUCUUGUUAUAGUAUUUCAGAAAUCCAGAGAAAUAUUCUUUGAAAAUAAACAUAACUUAUUCUAUGCCUCAUA
Molecule: long non-coding RNA, 740 nt
Filed under: Mytilus galloprovincialis (Mediterranean mussel)
Lineage: Eukaryota; Metazoa; Mollusca; Bivalvia; Mytilida; Mytilidae
Source: RNAcentral